Molecule: ribosomal RNA, 520 nt
Filed under: uncultured archaeon
Lineage: Archaea
Description: bacterial SSU rRNA
Rfam family: Archaeal small subunit ribosomal RNA
Source: RNAcentral
CCGGAUAGGACAGCGGAAUGAUAGCCGGGCUGAAGACCUUGCUUGACCAGCUGAGAGGAGGUGCAUGGCCGUCGUCAGUUCGUACUGUGAAGCAUCCUGUUUAGUCAGGCAACGAGCGAGACCCACGCCAACAGUUGCUAGCAUGUUCUCCGGAAUGAUGAGGACACUGUUGGGACCGCCUCUGCUAAAGAGGAGGAAGGAAUGGGCAACGGUAGGUCAGCAUGCCCCGAAUUAUCCGGGCUACACGCGGGCUACAAUGGUCAGGACAAUGGGAAACGGCACUGAAAAGUGUAGUCAAUCUCCUAAACCUGUCCCAAGUUCGGAUUGUGGGCUGCAACUCGCCCACAUGAAGCUGGAAUCCGUAGUAAUCGCGUUUCAAAAUAGCGCGGUGAAUAAGUCCCUGCUCCUUGCACACACCGCCCGUCAAACCAUCUUAGUGAGGUUUGGAUGAGGCUGUGGUUAACUGCCACAGUCGAAUCUAGGUUUCGCAAGGAGGGUUAAGUCGUAACAAGGUAGCCGA